GGAUGUGAGGGCGACCUGGCUGUGACACCUGCCAUGCCACUGAUUUCCAGGAUUGAUUUGGCUGAUCUGGCUGGCUACGCAGGUGUGCCCUUGCUCUCUCAUGGCUCCAUGUGCGUCCUUCCGAAAGCUGUGCACUCGGCCAAAGACGGCCAUCCCCAACAGAGGAGGACCGGUCUUCAGUCAAGGGUAUAUGAGUAGCUGUGCUCCCCUGCUACAGCCUCCAAACAAGCUCUCAAGAAGUAGGUGGCAGAUUUCCUUUAAAGUAAUUUAACUGAUUAGUAAUUCAACAAGCCAUUAU
Unclassified non-coding RNA from Rhinopithecus bieti (black snub-nosed monkey), 298 nucleotides. Its record names the gene 7SK. It matches the Rfam family "7SK RNA". Rfam says of the family: 7SK was discovered as an abundant small nuclear RNA in the mid-70s but a possible function has only recently been suggested. Two independent studies have found that 7SK RNA binds the CDK9/cyclin T complex (known as elongation factor P-TEFb). The record is from Ensembl. Lineage: Eukaryota; Metazoa; Chordata; Mammalia; Primates; Cercopithecidae.